GCUGAACAGCACCUUAAAAACAGACAUCACAUACAACCAGCAAGACAGGAGUGAAUGCAUUCACCCCUUCGACAUACUGAGGAGCAGGUGCGUGUUACAUAUUCCUGAUGCUACAUAUCACCGUAAACGUGUAAAAGUUACUUUCAAGUACCCUUUAGAGAUUGGUAGUCCCCAGAUCAUAUCCAGCGCUACACUUCACGCAACACAAACUCCCAAACAGGCGAAGCAGCUGAAGUCUUGCGAUAGGUAAAGCACAAACGCUCUUCACACCACCACCAUGUUUAAGCAAAACUUCUUCCACCCCAAAAGCCAGCUCUGCGGCCAGGCACGAGACACCACCGGUCGCCUUUUAGCCACCUUUUAGCCAAACCUUCACGAAUCUUUCCGAUAUCUCCUGCGCGCUCCCCAUAAACAUAAAGCUGUAUUUUAGACCCCACGAACUUUAAUUCGCCACUGCCAGAGCAAACCCCUUUGACAGGACCCGGGACCUUUCGGGCUGGACUCCGGACCCAAAUAUUAAGCGGGUGGUUUGAAGCGUCUCGGAAAUUGGAAGAGGCCUAAAGAGAAGGGCUGUAAAAAGCUGCUUUCCCCGAGCCCUCAGCACCCCCUGCCCACACGCACCGCCUCUCCUCGACCCCCUUCCCAGCGGCUCCGCGCAGGGACGACCGGAGCGGCGGCUCUGAAUUACGGAGGCACACAGCGGAUGGAUAAAGAGCGAGAAAGAAACCUCCGGUGCCUGAAGAAAGGAGAAUAAAAAGAGCCAGACUAGGAAAACAGCACGGAGCUGCCUUUCGCCUCGAAGCCAUGCGAGCGGCCUUACUGCGCUUACCAAGCUCAAGCUGUUUGUCGCUGCCCUCGAUGGCAUCGCCGCCUUCUGCCGUUCCUCAGGUACGGUGCGUGCUCCAAAACCGCCCCGCCGUCGGUCCCUGGGGCUGCCGAGUCCUGUUGGCUGCGUCCUGUUGGAGGGACUGGGCCGUUUUGAGGUGGUGUGAACUCUCCUUACGCGCUGUCGCUCCACGAAUCCGCUGCUCUUGGAGCCAUCUGCUUCUCCUACUUAGGCAUGAACUCAUGGGCAGCGAGGAAGGGAGGGGGUAUGAGGCCGUCCAGGUUUUUCCUUGCCUGUUUUAG
RNAcentral lists this long non-coding RNA (1128 nucleotides) under Struthio camelus australis. RNAcentral's name for it is "lncRNA (ENSSCUG00000017543.1)". The record is from RNAcentral. Lineage: Eukaryota; Metazoa; Chordata; Aves; Struthioniformes; Struthionidae.